Podarcis lilfordi (Lilford's wall lizard) is the source of this 69-nucleotide non-coding RNA. Lineage: Eukaryota; Metazoa; Chordata; Lepidosauria; Squamata; Lacertidae. The record is from the annotation of a GenBank genome assembly.
AAGGUGCAGAUGGGACAACGUGUCUGGCUGUUAACCAGAAGGUUGGUGGUUCGAGCCUACCCAGGGAGA